Molecule: long non-coding RNA, 1648 nt
Filed under: Mus musculus (house mouse)
Lineage: Eukaryota; Metazoa; Chordata; Mammalia; Rodentia; Muridae
Description: long non-coding RNA chr2:119040547-119042195
Source: RNAcentral
GUUAUAGACAGCCAUGUACAAGCUUGCCUUGAAGUUUUUGUUUUUGUUUUUAAAUCCCAAAUGGUAGAAUUAAACACAUGCACUGCCACUCAGGAUUUUGAAGAUUUCUUGUGUAUAAUAAAACAUAGACUAUAAGCAAACAAACAUACAACCAUCCAUUGCAAUUCUUUCAGCGCUACGUCUUAAAAGAGUUGUUGAUGUAUAACCAUCCAGGACUGUGGCGCAUCACCAGCUGACAAUUCUUCCCUGAUAAGUUCAUAAUCAACAGAGGGAAUGAGUCUUCCUGAAGCUGAAUCUAGAGGAUUAAGACCCAUUUUUUAGCACUUAAGCAGUAAAUGCUGUUAGUCUUAAUUAGGUAUUUUUGUAUCAAUCUUUUCUCAUGGUCUUCCAGGGACUCGGGGUUGGAAUAUCCUGUAAUAGUUCAGGAUAGUGUGAAGUAACCUUGCUGUUGAUUUGAGUGCUUUGAGCAGGAUUUAAAGGGUAAAAACAUGAAACCUCCUUCUCACCCAAAGCUGGAAGUAGCCACUGAUCCAGUAGAUGGCGCCUCUCACUCUUUUAUCAGUCUCUUCCCUUUCUGUUACUAAUUCAAGUAAUUUCCCCCUCCCGUUCUUUAAAAUAAAGUGGUAUUGUUGAUUAUUUUCACUCCCUUAGAAAAUGGGAGCCAAGUACUGGUAGUUAUGAAUCAGGAAAUCAUCAGGAGAGAAAACCCUGGUAUUCUCAUAACAAGCCUCACGGUAAUUUCAUGUGAGAGUAAGAACUAAACACCCUGACUUACAAAGGCAUGGCAGCAAGAGGUUCAGGAGUGAGCCUCUUGAAACUGGAUACCUGCAUCACACCUGCCAGGCUCAGAACAUAUGGGAGAAGACUGGGAAAGAAGGGAAGAGCCAGAGGAUAAGGAGGGGUGCCUUAAAAAGUCUGUGGGGAGUGGCUGGGUUGUUGCACCCGUGCAGCAGUAGUUACCUCUGCAAGCCAGGCGCAAUUCUGAGUCCACUGUCAUUUAAACAUGGGUGAGGGAGGGGCUACUGGCAGUUAAUGGUUGCUGGGAGAUUGGAUGCCAUUUUCUUCAGUGAUCUAACUAAUGAAAAGUUGCACAGCUUCUGCUGUGCAAACUGAGACUGAAUCAGAGAUGGAUAUCCAUUGGAUAAAGUUUUAACCAGUUUUUCUUCAACAUGAAACAUAGAACGACAGUCAUUCAGACAAAACAAAAACACACAAACUGACACAUGGUCAGACUGGUGCACCAAGGACAGACAAUGCAGAGAAGGAAGGAACUUGAUGUAACCAGAACUAAGGAUGCCUACUGUAGGGGCCAGAGAGGAAGCAAGAAGUCUCCCGAUUUCCUUCUGUCCCUGGGAGAGCUCUGAAAUCCAUUUUCCUUCACUUGAUCUCUCUCAUGUCAUUUGUAUAUCUAGCAUCUCCCUUUUGUUGUUUUUGUUUUUUAUUCUUUUUAUUUUAUCUUAUUUAUUUUAUUUUAAGCCCUACUCCUUUCAUCGGAUACAGUUCUUGACUACAGACAAAUGUUUGUUUAGAAUUUUCCAGCCCCAUUUUCCACUGUCAACCUCUAGCUGAUAUCAGCAUUGGGCUGACGCUGACUCAGUUUAACCUGUAUCCUUUUUGCACCAUUAAAAUCAACAGCCUUCAAAAGAUG